GGAGGGCAAGUCUGGUGCCAGCAGCCGCGGUAAUUCCAGCUCCAAUAGCGUAUAUUAAAGUUGUUGCAGUUAAAAAGCUCGUAGUUGAACCUUGGGUCUGGCUGGCCGGUCCGCCUCACCGCGAGUACUGGUCCGGCUGGACCUUUCCUUCUGGGGAACCUCAUGGCCUUCACUGGCUGUGGGGGGAACCAGGACUUUUACUGUGAAAAAAUUAGAGUGUUCAAAGCAGGCCUUUGCUCGAAUACAUUAGCAUGGAAUAAUAGAAUAGGACGUGUGGUUCUAUUUUGUUGGUUUCUAGGACCGCCGUAAUGAUUAAUAGGGAUAGUCGGGGGCGUCAGUAUUCAGCUGUCAGAGGUGAAAUUCUUGGAUUUGCUGAAGACUAACUACUGCGAAAGCAUUCGCCAAGGAUGUUUUCAUUAAUCAGGGAACGAAAGUUAGGGGAUCGAAGACGAUCAGAUACCGUCGUAGUCUUAACCAUAAACUAUGCCGACUAGGGAUCGGACGGGAUUCUAUGAUGACCCGUUCGGCACCUUACGGGAAAC
RNAcentral lists this ribosomal RNA (542 nucleotides) under uncultured Penicillium. RNAcentral's name for it is "SSU rRNA". It matches the Rfam family "Eukaryotic small subunit ribosomal RNA", at positions 550 to 1098 of the family's 1831-position model. The record is from RNAcentral. Lineage: Eukaryota; Fungi; Ascomycota; Eurotiomycetes; Eurotiales; Aspergillaceae.